UGCUUUCUGAAUUUUUAAAUUGUACAUUUUCCUAUUUAAAAAUUUCUAUUUUUAAAUUAUUCAUUUCAAAACCAUGUUGCACUGAAGUCUUCUGACCCAUCAGAUGACACAGAGUAUACAUAAAAAUUAAAUGCCUAUUCUGUAUAACAAAACUAGGAAGCUAUUUUUUCUGAUUUUAAAGAUGCUAUUUUCUAGAAUAUGAAUAAUGAAAAAACCUAAUUUUGUAGCCAUAACCAUUUUCUGCAUCUAUGAGAACUUAUAAUCAUGAUCAGAGGGCAUUGUAGUAGGUACAUCAAAAUAUAUAUAGCACCUCAAAGAGCUAACAUUUUAAGUAUUAAAAAAAGAUCAGAUAUGGGAGAAAAAUUAAAUGCUAUUCCUGUUCUGCCAUUGAGAGAACUUGAGGAGCAGUGAACAUUAGUGGGUUACUGAGGGGCAGUGGCUGGUAUGUGAAGGAGGAGAACUCCAGAGACUUACCUUACCCAUCAGCUUCUGUGCUACUGUGUCAUGGUGCUAUUGUUUUGACAGUUAUGUGGAGGAGAGUGGCUGCUUGGAACACAGUCAUGUAAGCAGGACUCAGGUUUAAGUGUUAAAUUAGCAUGCCCUAAAUAGUAAAAAUGUAGGAUAUUGGGACCUUAAAUCCAUUCUGUUGUAUCUUCAAGUCUUGGUCGUCUACAUACCACAUGUUGCUGAGAUGCAGAAAAACAAGCCUUGUGUUUCCAAAGGACAUAAAAGUGCAACUCACCUUGAGGAAGUACUUUUCCCUGGAACUAAACCCUCUUGUGUCCUUUUGUCAGCUGAAUCCUAGAGCAUUCAUGAACGACACCAACCAACAUGUAGUUCUCUGACACGGAACCAAACUGUGAAGAGCUACUGCCUUCCAGGAAUUAAGUAGCACCACUGGAAUUGCUUCUGCAAACCCUUUGAGCUGGUGUUUGGAGAUUGCUGACCUACCCUGUGUUACUGUAAAACACUCCUACAUCACUGACACAGAACUCUCACCUCACACCUGGUGGCAGGGGUAGGAGGUUAAAAUCUUUUAUUACAUGAAGAAACUUCUGCACAUAACACAGACCUACUGUGGUCCUGUCUUUCUUCUUACUUUCAAUCUUGCAUGUUGAUGAAAGUAUAAACUAGAGGCAAUUCCUUUGGCAAGGUGACUGAAAAUAAUUUGGAUGAUGGGACUGUAGCCAUCUAAGUUGAACUAUUCAUACAGUCCAAAUAAUUAACUAUAUUUUUUAGCAGUUUUCCAUUAAUAAGAAAUUCUGUUGUAGGAGUCUGUGUAUUUAGGUUUUUAUUCAAGCUGAUGAUGUUUGCUUCAGUAAAAGUGUGGUGUUUGGACCAUAUGCUCAAAUGUUAACAUGUUUAAUGCCAGCAGCAGAAUAUUUACAUUAAAGGACAUGGAGCCAAGUUAAACUCAAUUGCAACUUUAUUCACUGGAUUACAGUGUUACCAGCAAAAAAUAGCUGUGAUAUCUUGCUUUUUUUCCUCUUUCAUUUUUCAAACAGGCUGAGGCAGAUCUGCCCUUUUUGGAAGUUGUGCUCUAAUUACUAUUUUAAGCCCUAGUGCAGCAGGGUAGAGGGGGAAUGCCAAGAGGUAUUCUGCUUGAACCUGAAGCUCUUGAGAAGGAGGGAUAGGAAGAAAUAAAAGCACAGGGACAUACUGAGGCAGAGUUGCCAGAGCCAGAUGGACCAGAAACCCAGUGCACUGCAGAAUGUCUCUCAGAUAUUUGGACAGAUAACCACAGCUAGUGGGCACACAGCCAUAGUUUUCUCCGUAGUGAGUCUUCAAAUAUUAUCUGAUCAGCCUUCAAAAACUUCCCAGUUCUUAAGCAAUGAAGAAUCAUGGAUGCAUCUAGUAAUUGGUGAUAUGGAGAAACCAGACUGGGCCACUGGAGCUUCACAUGAAUCGCUGGAGGUGUCCAGGAGUUGCUGCAGUCAUAAGUUUAGAGGCAUAUUGUGUCCAGGCAAAGGUCAAUGUCUGUUACUCUGACGCAUUUUAAACAUGUGCCAGUUUGCUGUAACACAGAGUCCAGUCUGGAAACAUUCAGUGGGGCAGGACUGUAUGUAGAAUGAGUCUUCCCAUCUUCUUCUUCCUAUUAUCCUGUCAGAGUUUCAUCAUGUUUGUCUCCAUUGAACCAGUCUGCUCUGGUUCCCAGUGGCAGUGUUAUGUGCCAUUAGCUGGUAAACCUUCCACGGUGCCACUGGGGAACGCCCAAUUGCAGGGCUAGUACAGCCAGAAUUAUUCAGGUCGUGCCCUCUCCUCUAACUGUGAAAGCCUGCAAACAUAGUUUCAAGUCUCAGGGCUUUUACCAGCUGUCAGAAUUUGGACAGUCAAUUCAGCUGGCUCAGUGACUGAAAUCAAUCGUUUUUGACUGGCAGUUAUUUAAUUAUCCUACUUGUACACCAUCCAGGGAGGCCUCUGGCCCCUGCUCUUUUGUACUGUAUCUCUAUUUACAGAGUGACAGAAAACAUUUCCUUGCAAACGAGGCUCAUUUUAGAAAUGGACACCAACCUCUUUUGGGUCGUCCCCCAUCAGCUUAAACUUUCUUGGAAUCUUGCUUCUGGCAAACUUACAACCAUUGUAGUACAUGCUCCAGGAGCAACCAAAGGAAAAUGAAGCACCACAAGUUUCAGGGUCCAGCCCUUGACAUGCACAAGUCCGCCUAGAAGAGAAUACAGCUAUUAGCAGCAGACAGGUCACCCUGGAGCAUUCCCACAGUGGGCAUCGGCAUUCUGCCAGCUCUGCAGGGAAUCAGGGCUACAGAUCGUCUUCCAUCAGUAAAAAA
This is a long non-coding RNA of Pipra filicauda (Wire-tailed manakin), 2785 nucleotides long. RefSeq lists it as uncharacterized. Lineage: Eukaryota; Metazoa; Chordata; Aves; Passeriformes; Pipridae. The transcript is spliced from 5 exons. The record is from RefSeq and is a predicted model, not a curated record.